GUGAAAUUGUUGAAAGGGAAGCGCUUGCAACCAGACCUGCCUGCAGUUGCUCAUCCGGGCUUUUGCCCGGUGCACUCUUCUGCUGUCAGGCCAGCAUCGGUUCGGGCGGUCGGAUAAAGGCUUCGGGAAUGUAGCUCCUCUCGAGGAGUGUUAUAGCCCGUUGCGAAAUGCGGCCAGCCUGAACUGAGGUCCGCGCUUCGGCUAGGAUGCUGGCGUAAUGGUUGUAAGCGGCCCGUCUUGAAACACGGACCAAGGAGUCUAACAUCUGUGCGAGUGUUUGGGUGUCAAACCCGUACGCGUAAUGAAAGUGAACGGAGGCGGGAACCCCUCGGGGUGCACCGUCGACCGAUCCUGAUGUCUUCGGAUGGAUUUGAGUAAGAGCAUAGCUGUUGGGACCCGAAAGAUGGUGAACUAUGCCUGAAUAGGGUGAAGCCAGAGGAAACUCUGGUGGAGGCUCGCAGCGGUUCUGACGUGCAAAUCGAUCGUCAAAUUUGGGCAUAGGGGCGAAAGACUAAUCGAACUAUCUAGUAGCUGGUUCCUGCCGAAGUUUCCCUCAGGAUAGCAGUAACGUUUUCAGUUUUAUGAGGUAAAGCGAAUGAUUAGAGGCCUGGGGGUUGAAACAACCUUCACCUAUUCUCAAACUUUAAAUAUGUAAGAAGUCCUUGUUGCUUAGUUGAACGUGGACAUUUGAAUGUAUCGUUACUAGUGGGCCAUUUUUGGUAAGCAGA
RNAcentral lists this ribosomal RNA (728 nucleotides) under uncultured Ascomycota. RNAcentral's name for it is "LSU rRNA". It matches the Rfam family "Eukaryotic large subunit ribosomal RNA", at positions 399 to 1148 of the family's 3401-position model. Lineage: Eukaryota; Fungi; Ascomycota. The record is from RNAcentral.